CUGGUUUAUCAAAAACAUAGCCUACUAUUUAACUUAGGUACAACCCUGCCCUCUGACUUUUAACAGCCGCGGUAUCCUAACCGUGCUAAGGUAGCAUAAUCACUUGCCUAUUAAUUAUAGGCUAGAAUGAACGGGAUCACUCACUUAAACUUAUUUUUAUUUAAAUUUAAAUUAAACUUUAAGUCAAAAUACUAAAUUAAAAAGAAAGACAAAAAGACCCUGAAAACUAUUAGAAAUAAUUAGUUGGGGCAACUAAAGACCACUCUAGCGUCUAUUUUUUUUAACUCUUAAAAUCUAAAGUAUCCAGUUACUUCAGGGAUAACAGACUAAUUUUAUUAUUUAGACCCAAUAAAUAAUAAAGAUUGGCACCUCGAUGUUGGCUUAUAUUUCCUUCAUAUAGCAACAUAUAUAGAAGGCAGCUUGUUCAUCUGUUAAAUAUUUACAUGA
This 447-nucleotide ribosomal RNA is filed under the name Stygocapitella sp. 169_58. RNAcentral's name for it is "partial large subunit ribosomal RNA". It matches the Rfam family "Archaeal large subunit ribosomal RNA", at positions 1892 to 2672 of the family's 2987-position model. The record is from RNAcentral. Lineage: Eukaryota; Metazoa; Annelida; Polychaeta; Parergodrilidae.